This 1163-nucleotide small RNA is filed under the name Malus domestica (apple). RNAcentral describes it as "sRNA MD11G0005300". Lineage: Eukaryota; Viridiplantae; Streptophyta; Magnoliopsida; Rosales; Rosaceae. The record is from RNAcentral.
UGCUUGCCAAUAACCCUAGCGCGUAUGGAUAUAAACAUGAUUUGCAGCAACCAGAUGUCCACAUCUCUUUAGCAUCGAACCCAGUGCCAAAAGGCUCUUUUCCACAUUUCCAUCGGUCCUCGUGCUCUUGAAUAUGAGAGAUGUGUCUCAUUUAUCUCUCAAAACAACACAACCUAGCCUUCACCCUUAGCCGCCGCUCCUCCAUUGCUCUCUAGAUCUCCCAAAUUGAAACUGCAAAUCAUGCCUCCAUUGCUCUCGAUAGGGUUCAUCACCAUCGCUGUAUCUCUGCUGCGAAACCCGAAGUCGCAAAGGUAAAAAUCUCUCUUUGCUGCCAUUGAGUUCCAUUUUGGAUUAGUUUCAUGUAAACACAAAAGAACUAACACAUGGAACUGCUUUCUCUGCGAGUGUUCUCGUAUCCACAAUAAAAGAAGCGCACCAACACCUAACUUCACAGAUCCAUGGCCAAUCGUCCAAGACUCCCCCAUCUGCAGGAUCUGACUCCGAUGUCUUGGAUGACGGCGUAACAAAGGAAAUGCUCGGACUGCGCAGAGCCGUUGUAAACUAGAAGAUAGAGCACAUGAGCCGUGGAUCCAAAAUAAAAGAACCGUUGAUGGCAAGGAAAAAAAUAAAGGAAAACCGCUCGGAGACCACAGAUCCGUUGAUGACAAGGACACUCGGAUCCGUGAGAUAGAAUGCUCAAGCUGCAGAUUUGGUAGACAAAAUGGAAAAGUUUCCAAAUUGCCGGGACUUCGGAUCUGAAAGGUAUAAACCCUCAUCUCUGUUGGAAUCCAUGUUGGAUGUGUAAACUUCUGUAAAUGAGUAUGGCAUGCAUGUAUUAUCUGUGAGACCACCCCCAAACUUAAUAUAAGUAAUAACCGGGGAUUGUAAAUGUUGUGAAAAAAAAUUGGGAUCUGUAUGGGGAUGAGAAUUUUGGACUUGGAACAUGCCUUCUCCCAGUAAUAAAAGUGAAUGAAAACCUAGAUCAACCCUGAACAUAUAUGUGGACGAUUUGGACUUUAAACCUUGCGGAGGACAGAUAAAUUACCAACCCCCAAACUCAAAUAAUGGCAUACAUGGCAUCUUCGGAUGUAAAAGUUAUAGAUCUGUAGAAAAUAACGACUAGAAAUAAUGGAUUGCAAUUCCUUGCAUACCUUUAACGUCUU